GAUGAACGCCGGCGGAGUGCCUAAGGCAUGCAAGUCGGGGGAAUCCCAGCAAUGGGGGAACCGGCGUAAGGGGCAGUAAGGCAUGGGUACCUACCUUGGGGUUCGGGAUAGCCAUCAGAGAUGGUGGGUAAUACCGGAUGACGUCGUGAGACCAAAGAUUUAUCGCCCUUAGAGGGGCCCAUGUGAUAUUAGCUAGUUGGUGGGGUAACGGCCCACCAAGGCGAAGAUGUCUAGCGGGUGUGAGAGCACGACCCGCGCCACUCGCACUGAGACACUGGCGAGACACCUACGGGUGGCUGCAGUCGAGGAUCUUCGGCAAUGAGCGCAAGCUUGACCGAGCGAUGCCGCGUGAGCGAUGAAGGCCUUCGGGUUGUAAAGCUCUUUAGUGGGGGAGAAAAGCCGCAAGGUGUGAUCUAUCCAAAAAAUAAGCACGGGCUAAGUUCGUGCCAGCCGCCGCGGUAA
This 462-nucleotide ribosomal RNA is filed under the name uncultured bacterium. Its description in RNAcentral is "partial 16S ribosomal RNA". It matches the Rfam family "Bacterial small subunit ribosomal RNA", at positions 28 to 523 of the family's 1533-position model. The record is from RNAcentral.